This is a long non-coding RNA of Mya arenaria, 3110 nucleotides long. RefSeq lists it as uncharacterized. NCBI's taxonomy places the organism in Eukaryota, Metazoa, Mollusca, Bivalvia, Myida, Myidae. The record is from RefSeq and is a predicted model, not a curated record. The transcript has 3 exons.
CGUUCUGACCUAGAUUACGUCAGAGCUUGCGAAUCAAGGUACUAGAAUCAAGAUGGCGGCCUAGUUUCAGUGUCUGUACUCUGUUGACAUUAUUUACGUGAACUUUUGACCGUUUGUUCUUAAAUACUUGUGGAAAUAUGAAUAAAUAAAUGGCAUGUCUGACAAAAGUAGUUAAAUUAUUUCAUUGUUUUGCUCAACUUUAUUAUUUUUAUUUAUUCCUUACAUCCGCGAAUCAUGGUUAGUCGAGGAUACGUUUAAAAUAAGUAAACACUAAAAGUGCACACUGACAGUUGAUUACGAUACAUCUAACAAUUUGAGUCAUUACAGUAAAACAUGGAUUAUAAGUGAAUUAUACGCGUAAGAGAAGAUUUUCUGUCGAAAAAACUAAUGUCAACAAUCAGCAUGGAAUUGGGAUAUUCGUAUCAAAGGGCAAUUCAUGCAGGAAAAGGACUGAAUAUUACUAUUAUAUGAAGAAUUCCAGCCUGCAUUAAAUACUUUGUUGGAUCAUUGAGACAGAUUUGACAUCCAUGUCUAUCCACAUCUGAUAGAGAUGAUCACUAAACAUUCUAGAUGGGUAAAGACCUGUUAAAUCAGCAUUGACUCAGCAUUGAGUAAUUUUCAUCUGUGCAGACACUACAAGUACAAACGCAUGGGAACAAACCAAACUUCAAAUGUUGAAGAGUGAAGAAUUAUUGUGAAAAGUUCUAAAUGUUAGAAUACCAUUGACUAAAUAAAACAAAUAGACAUCGCUUACCAACAGAGACUGUUUACAUGUUAUAAUAUUCAAAAGACAUUAGUUGAGAACUUUCACUCUGACAUUUUUGGAGGGGCAUUAUCGCCUACUUAGUGUUCUUGUUUUUUUACAUAUUUUAAUUUAAAAGUACAUUCAUUGUUUUUAAAUCUGAAUUCAUAGUUAGUAUCAUAAGUAAAAUUCAUUUAUUUGAAUGAUUACAUUUUAUGAAUAAGUCCAAUUGAGCUUUUUACAAGAAAAAGGUUGAUUUUUAAGCAUUUUAUUAGUUAUAAAAAUGUAUAGUUACAUGACAUUAUGUAUAUUUUCUUCAAAACUGAUCGGUAAACUAUCAUAAAUUGUCUUUUGAAUUGUUCAUUAGACAUCAUAGAAAUUUUUUAAAUGAUUUCAGCAGGUUGUCUUAUUAUUAACUAUUUUUUUAUGAAUUUAUAAAACUGCUAUAUAUUUUCAAACAUCGAAAUACUGCUCUGUUCCGAAGACUCACAAGAUCAAUCAAAAUGAUUUUUUUCCAUGUGUAUCAAUAAUAUGUUCGGUUGAACGUAAUUUUUCUGUUAACUGAAGUUUAUUUUACCAGAAACUGUUGUGUUUAUUUAAUAAUCUCUGAUAAUGUGAAAAAAAAUCAAAUAAAGACAAAAUAUUUUUAAUUAACAGUAAAAAAUCUUCAAAAUUUGGAUAAAAGUCCCAUAACGUACCAUGAUAAUGACUAUGUUGUCCGUAAAAGCUUUAUAAAAGUGUGUAUUACUUAUACCUUAAUUCAGUUCAAAUAAUUAUGGCCUUUAAGGAUUUGUGUUUUCAUAAUAUAGAUUUCCUGUUAUAUUGAGCUUUGUCAAUUUGUGUUGAUGUUUUGUUUUAUGUACAAUUACUACUUCUAUUUCCUAACUUUUGUCUCAUUUGUCAAAUUGAAUUGUUGCAUAUUUAAGUGAAAAAACACACACACUAUUUUUAAAGAUGCACUCUUACUCCCCAAUAAGACUUAUGAUAAUUAAUAUUAUUGUUUUUCAAAAUGAGUUGAGAGAUGUCAACAACAAUGUUUCUAAUGAAGGAUCUUGAGUUCAAUUUGCUAAUAAGAAUGAACUUAAAACAUGGUAUUUCUGCCUUGUGAUACUAUAGUAGACCACAGUAAAUCUUUUAGCAAUCACCAAUUGAUCAUUUAAUAUUUGUCAUGCAUUCUGCUAUUAUAAACAGAGUGACAAGCUUGUUAUCAGUAGACGAUAUUUCAGUAAAUGCAUUAUUUAGUAAGUAGUUAUUGUUUUUUCAUUCAAUUUGAUGUGUGUUAUAUAUACAAUUAUAUGUAUUGAUUUUAAAUAAGAGUUUCACUUUAAAGAUGCUCAUUUAAAGAUAAUGAACAGACACACAAAAACUAGACACAUUUGAUACUAAUUAUACGAAUGAUUAUUGUUUUAUAUAUAGGUGACCUCUGAUUUGUUUUGGAGAUAUUCAUAAAUGGGUGUUAUUCUUUAUUGUCUUCAGUUUCUUAUACAUUUAAGGAUUUUUAUAAUUGCUUUUCUGGUAUAUAUUACAAUGUAAUUUAAUGCAAAUGAAAACACACUUUAAACUGGACACAUUUGAUACUAAUGAUAUAAAUGAUUAUUGUUUACAUGUACUCUGAUUUGUUAUGAAGAUAUUCAUAAAGGGGUGUUCUUCAUGUUAUUAUACAUUUUGGACUUGAUUUAGUAUUGCUUUUCUGGUAUAUAUUCAUUUAAUGCACAAAGAAAUUAUUUUAAGUGUUCAGUAUCACUUUCACACAUUGUUUACUAUUAUUUUUUUGCAUAUUUGGCUUAUUUAUGCUUAUAUGUGCAUUGUUGUAUUUCAAAACCUUUGUGAAAAAUAGAAACAGUAUUAUUUCCUUCAUACAUAGUCUGAUACAUAUUCAGUUUGAAUGCGUUAUUUUUAUCAUAUUUGAAAAAAAUGCCAUUGUCCAAUAAGACACAUGCUGUUUUUGUGUUAAUAUCAACUAAAACAUCCAUUUUCUACUCUUCUUUACUAUGUAAAUGAAGAAGUUAACAUUAGUAUUAUUAAACAGCUAAAAACAAGGCAUGUUAUGUUAUAAAUGCAUUUCAUCUAGUAAACAAUGUUCACUUUUUAUAUAACAGUUCAAUAAUUAUGUUCUAUUUAUGUUUGCAACUUUACAGUUCAAUAAUUAUGUUCUAUUUAUGUUUGCAACUUUCGGACGAAAUGAUAAUAUUUAUUAAAGUACUACACAAAUUGUUAAAUUGUUAUUUCAUAUCACUUCUUCAUGAUGAAUGAGGUAACUUAUUCUUCCCUACAAGUUGUCAUUCCAGCAUGGUGACGUUGCCCCCUCCCCCUUUAUGAUUAGAACUGCAGUGUACAUGAACAAUAACUCUAUUUCAGCGUAUUGCAA